GACGAACGCUGGCGGCGUGCUUAACACAUGCAAGUCGAGCGGUAAGGCCCUUUCGGGGGUACACGGGCGGCGAACGGGUGAGUAACACGUGGGUGACCUGCCCUCAGCUCUGGGAUAAGCCUGGGAAACCGGGUCUAAUACCGGAUAUGACUCCAUGACGCAUGUUGUGGGGUGGAAAGCCUUGUGCGGCUGAGGAUGGGCCCGCGGCCUAUCAGCUUGUUGGUGGGGUGAUGGCCACCAAGGCGACGACGGGUAGCCGGCCUGAGAGGGCGACCGGCCACACUGGGACUGAGACACGGCCCAGACUCCUACGGGAGGCAGCAGUGGGGAAUCUUGCGCAAUGGGCGAAAGCCUGACGCAGCGACGCCGCGUGAGGGAUGA
Molecule: ribosomal RNA, 381 nt
Filed under: uncultured bacterium
Lineage: Bacteria
Description: bacterial SSU rRNA
Rfam family: Bacterial small subunit ribosomal RNA
Source: RNAcentral